This 427-nucleotide ribosomal RNA is filed under the name uncultured bacterium. RNAcentral's name for it is "bacterial SSU rRNA". It matches the Rfam family "Bacterial small subunit ribosomal RNA", at positions 356 to 775 of the family's 1533-position model. The record is from RNAcentral.
GGGGAAUAUUGCACAAUGGGGGAAACCCUGAUGCAGCCAUGCCGCGUGUGUGAAGAAGGCCUUCGGGUUGUAAAGCACUUUCAGCGAGGAGGAAAGGGUGUAAGUUAAUACCUUACAUCUGUGACGUUACUCGCAGAAGAAGCACCGGCUAACUCCGUGCCAGCAGCCGCGGUAAUACGGAGGGUGCGAGCGUUAAUCGGAAUUACUGGGCGUAAAGCGUGCGCAGGCGGUUUGUUAAGCGAGAUGUGAAAGCCCCGGGCUCAACCUGGGAACCGCAUUUCGAACUGGCAAACUAGAGUCUUGUAGAGGGGGGUAGAAUUCCAGGUGUAGCGGUGAAAUGCGUAGAGAUCUGGAGGAAUACCGGUGGCGAAGGCGGCCCCCUGGACAAAGACUGACGCUCAGGCACGAAAGCGUGGGGAGCAAACAG